GGAUUUUUAUUUAUUUAUUUGCAUUAAAAUAAGAUCAGAUUCCUGGAUCCGUAAUACAUGCAUUUUUUGUUUAAAGUAAUACUUUUUUAAGUAUUUUGUAGCUAUUCACAUAUUUUAAAAUUUAUACUUUUUUUCUCAUGAAAUUAUUGAGACUAAUAGUUUCUUGCAAUAAUUGAAAAAUAUUUAAUAGACUUAUUAUAUGUUUUUCCAUCCAUGCCAACUAUAAAAUCA
This 231-nucleotide long non-coding RNA is filed under the name Lathyrus oleraceus (garden pea). RNAcentral's name for it is "Pisum sativum (pea) long non-coding RNA (PSAT_LNC022580)". The record is from RNAcentral. Lineage: Eukaryota; Viridiplantae; Streptophyta; Magnoliopsida; Fabales; Fabaceae.